GCAAUUAUACAGCGAAACUGCGAAUGGCUCAUUAUAUAAGUUAUCGUUUAUUUGAUAGUACCUUACUACUUGGAUAACCGUGGUAAUUCUAGAGCUAAUACAUGCUGAAAAUCCCGACUUCGGAAGGGAUGUAUUUAUUAGAUUCAAAACCAAUGCCCUCUGGGCUCACUGGUGAUUCAUGAUAACUCCUCGAAUCGCACGGCCUUGCGCCGGCGAUGGUUCAUUCAAAUUUCUUCCCUAUCAACUUUCGAUGUUUGGGUAGUGGCCAAACAUGGUUGCAACGGGUAACGGAGGGUUAGGGCUCGACCCCGGAGAAGGAGCCUGAGAAACGGCUACUACAUCCAAGGAAGGCAGCAGGCGCGCAAAUUACCCAAUCCCGACACGGGGAGGUAGUGACAAUAAAUACUGAUACAGGGCUCUUUUGGGUCUUGUAAUUGGAAUGAGUACAAUUUAAAUCCCUUAACGAGGAACAAUUGGAGGGCAAGUCUGGUGAACGUUGCUGGUGCCAGAGAGAGCCGCCCUCGGUAAACAACCGGCUAGUCGAGCGCCCGCGCAGUGACGGGUGGGCGCCGGCGAGACAACCUGGAUCGGGGAACGCUAAGGGCCCUCCGGGGCCUAUGCCGAUCCCGAGCAGAGCCACGGGGUGGCCUGUGUAGAGCGCGCCAAGGUGUCGGUCCCGCGGACUCGCGUCCCGGGGCUUAAGGUACGUGCCAACCCCCCGCGAAAGCGGGGCCCUGCGGACGAGCACCCGUCGUGCGAAGCCGCAGGGGGGGUGCCCCCAGCCCGGGGGCGCCCCCGCAGGCUUGAGCCCAAGCCGAUUCAGUGGCCAGCAGCCGCGGUAAUUCCAGCUCCAAUAGCGUAUAUUAAAGUUGUUGUGGUUAAAAAGCUCGUAGUUGAACCUUGGGCCUGGCUGGCCGGUCCGCCUCACCGCGUGUACUGGUCCGGCCGGGCCUUUCCCUCUGUGGAACCCCAUGCCCUUCACUGGGCGUGGCGGGGAAACAGGACUUUUACUUUGAAAAAAUUAGAGUGCUCCAGGCAGGCCUAUGCUCGAAUACAUUAGCAUGGAAUAAUGAAAUAGGACGCGCGGUUCUAUUUUGUUGGUUUCUAGGACCGCCGUAAUGAUUAAUAGGGACAGUCGGGGGCAUCAGUAUUCAAUAGUCAGAGGUGAAAUUCUUGGAUCUAUUGAAGACUAACUACUGCGAAAGCAUUUGUCAAGGAUGUUUUCAUUAAUCAGGAACGAAAGUUAGGGGAUCGAAGACGAUCAGAUACCGUCGUAGUCUUAACCAUAAACUAUGCCGACUAGGGAUCGGACGAUGUUAUUUUUUGACUCGUUCGGCACCUUACGAGAAAUCAAAGUGCUUGGGCUCC
This 1368-nucleotide ribosomal RNA is filed under the name Hirsutella lecaniicola. RNAcentral's name for it is "bacterial SSU rRNA". It matches the Rfam family "Eukaryotic small subunit ribosomal RNA", at positions 69 to 1115 of the family's 1831-position model. Lineage: Eukaryota; Fungi; Ascomycota; Sordariomycetes; Hypocreales; Ophiocordycipitaceae. The record is from RNAcentral.